Pseudonaja textilis is the source of this 532-nucleotide non-coding RNA. Lineage: Eukaryota; Metazoa; Chordata; Lepidosauria; Squamata; Elapidae. The record is from RefSeq and is a predicted model, not a curated record.
UAGGUGAGGAAACCAGCUGGGUGACUUUCAGUGAAUCACCAGGAGACAGAUUUUUCUGUGCAUCAUUUCCUCCGAGUUCAGAUUCAGUAUUUUACUUUAUGGUGUAAAGCAUCACAUAUGCUCCAUGGUGCUAUAUCAAUUGCUAUUAUUAAGAGGUUACAGGCUGGUGUCAUAACAAUCACAAUUCUGUCUCAGGAUUACAAGCGUAGUUUGCUCCCAGCCUUGGAAAAAAAAAAUCCUAUCAGUGCCUUGGCAGGUCUUUUAUUUUUAAAAUUUGGAAUAGGCUUCCUUUUCCCCCCGCUUCUCUUAUGGGUAGCUUGCAAAAAUCUCUCUUGGCGUUGAUGGUUUGCCGUUUCUGAUGUUUAGGUUAUUUCUUGCAUAUCCGAACUUCAUCACCAUCAAAGUUGUCUGGCAGGGGGAGAUUUUCAAAGAGAGAGAGAGAGAGAGAGAAAGGCUGCAAAGGACACUUUUACGAUGUAUUUAAAGUGCAUAAUUUUAAUUACAUUUCAAUAAAGUUUCAAUUUCAGGGGAU